ACAGACGAGGAGCUUGCUCCUCUGACGUUAGCGGCGGACGGGUGAGUAGCACGUGGAUAACCUACCUAUAAGACUGGGAUAGCUUCGGGAAACCGGAGCUAAUACCGGAUAAUAUAUUGAACCGCAUGGUCCAAUAGUGAAAGACGGUUUUGCUGUCACUUAUAGAUGGAUCCGCGCCGCAUUAGCUAGUUGGUAAGGGAACGGCUUACCAAGGGCAACCAAUGCGUUAUCCCACCCUUGAGAGGGUGAUCGGCCACACUGGAACUGAGACACGGUCCAGACUCCUACGGGAGGCAGCAGUAGGGGAAUCUUCCGCAAUGGGCGAAAGCCUGACGGAGCAACGCCGCGUGAGUGAUGAAGGUCUUCGGAUCGUAAAACUCUGUUACUAGGGAAAGACAAAUGUGGUAAGUAACUAUGCACGUCCUUGACGGUACCUAAUCAGAAAAGCCC
This 450-nucleotide ribosomal RNA is filed under the name uncultured bacterium. Its description in RNAcentral is "bacterial SSU rRNA". It matches the Rfam family "Bacterial small subunit ribosomal RNA", at positions 69 to 494 of the family's 1533-position model. The record is from RNAcentral.